GACGAACGCUGGCGGCGUGCUUAACACAUGCAAGUCGAACGGAAAGACCCUGCUUUUGUGGGGUGCUCGAGUGGCGAACGGGUGAGUAACACGUGAGUAACCUGCCCUUGACUUUGGGAUAACUUCAGGAAACUGGGGCUAAUACCGGAUAGGAGCUCCUGCUGCAUGGUGGGGGUUGGAAAGUUUCGGCGGUUGGGGAUGGACUCGCGGACUAUCAGCUUGUUGGUGGGGUAGUGGCUUACCUAGGCUUUGACGGAUGACCGGCCUGAGAGGGUGUCCGGCCACAUUGGGACUGAGGUACGGCCCAGAAUCGUAAGGGAGGCAGCAGAGGAGAAUAUUGCACAGUAGGCGGAAGCGUGAGGCAGCAACGCCGCGUGCGGGAUGACGGCCAUCGGAUUGUAAAGCGCUUUCGCUAUUGAGGAAGCGAGCAUGACGAUAAGAGGUGAAGAAGCACCGGCUAACUACGUG
Molecule: ribosomal RNA, 468 nt
Filed under: uncultured bacterium
Lineage: Bacteria
Description: partial 16S ribosomal RNA
Rfam family: Bacterial small subunit ribosomal RNA
Source: RNAcentral